CCGACGGUGAGGGACGAAAGCUGGGGGAGCGAACCGGAUUAGAUACCCGGGUAGUCCCAGCCGUAAACGAUGCCGGCUAGGUGCUGGGCGGGGUUUUGGCCCCGUCCGGUGUCGAAGGGAAGCCGUUAAGCCGGCCGCCUGAGGAGUACGGCCGCAAGGCUGAAACUUGAAGGAAUUGACGGGGGGGCACCACAAGGGGUGAAUGCCUGCGGCUCAAUUGGACUCAACGCCGGAAAUCUUACCGGGGGCGACAGCAGGAUGAAGGUCAGGCUGAAGACCUUACCAGACGAGCUGAGGGGUGGUGCAUGGCCGUCGCCAGCUCGUGCCGUGAGGCGUCCUGUUAAGUCAGGCAACGAGCGAGACCCCCGCCCCUAGUUGCCAGCGGCAUCCUUCGGGAUGGCCGGGCAAACUAGGGGGACUGCCGGCGAGAAGCCGGAGGAAGGAGGGGGCCACGGCAGGUCAGUAUGCCCCUAAUCCCCCGGGCCGCACGCGGGCUGCAAUGGGCGGGACAGCGGGAUGCGACCCCGAGAGGGGGAGCAAAUCCCUAAAACCCGCCCGUAGUUGGGAUCGAGGGCUGCAACUCGCCCUCGUGAACCCGGAAUCCCUAGUAACCGCGCGUCUACAUCGCGCGGUGAAUACGUCCCUGCCCCUUGUACACACCGCCCGUCAACCUGCCCGAGUGGGGCUGGGGCGAGGUCUAGUCUUCUCCUUCGGGAGGAGGCUAGAUCGAGCUUUGGCUCCGCAAGGGCGGGUAAGUCGUAACAAGGUAGCCGUAGGGGAACCUGCGGCUGGAUCACCUCCCAUU
This 805-nucleotide ribosomal RNA is filed under the name Candidatus Acetothermia bacterium. RNAcentral's name for it is "bacterial SSU rRNA". It matches the Rfam family "Archaeal small subunit ribosomal RNA", at positions 691 to 1478 of the family's 1478-position model. Lineage: Bacteria; Candidatus Bipolaricaulota. The record is from RNAcentral.